GUGCUCGCUUCGGCAGCACAUAUACUAAAAUUGGAAUGAUAGAGAAGAUUAGCAUGGCUCCUGUACAAGUAUGACACAAAAAUUCAUGAAGUGGGACGAAGUGAG
Balaenoptera musculus (blue whale) is the source of this 105-nucleotide small nuclear RNA. NCBI's taxonomy places the organism in Eukaryota, Metazoa, Chordata, Mammalia, Artiodactyla, Balaenopteridae. The record is from Ensembl.